This 648-nucleotide ribosomal RNA is filed under the name Triticum aestivum (bread wheat). RNAcentral's name for it is "partial small subunit ribosomal RNA". The record is from RNAcentral. Lineage: Eukaryota; Viridiplantae; Streptophyta; Magnoliopsida; Poales; Poaceae.
AGUUCCGUAGGAUGUUUAGUUCAAUGGUCGAGGGUUAGUCGAUCGAUCUAGUCGUCGUUGUAAAUCUCUUUUCCUUCGUUCUAGCUGCUUAUCAGCAGUGAGCUAGUACCACCACGGCAGCCACAAGCGGCGGAAGCUGCUCCUGCCGCUGCCGUUCCAAAGGCACAGGCUCGAUGCCGCGACGUACCUCCGCUGCGACCCACUCCUGCACAGGCUCCUCCUCCGCCGCCGCCAGGAGCGCCGCCGCCUGCGGCUGCCACUACCCAACGAUUUGGUUCUUCUCAAGAGCUCCGACUGUCGGGAGCCACGGGUCCUUCUCCUGCUACGGCUGCACUUCGCUUCCACGGACUCCCUCCGCAAGCCCUACAUGCGCAGCAGCAGGUGCCUUCUGUGCUAAUGCGGCCGCUCGGACUCCGCCUGCGACUCGUCCGACCCCAGCGUGCUCGACCCGCACCUCCUCACGGCCCGUUACUAGACGUCCAAGCUGGAGCUGCCGCUACCGUUUGAGAGGAAGCUACUCAAGCCCUAGUACUACUACCGGACUAGCAGCUAGAGAGAAGAAGAUCUAUGAUCAUUAAACAUGCACGAAACGUGCAAUCUAAUAAUACACACUAGUGUCAUGAAUUAGUAAAAUUUCAUUUUCAUUUA